This 494-nucleotide ribosomal RNA is filed under the name uncultured bacterium. RNAcentral's name for it is "SSU rRNA". It matches the Rfam family "Bacterial small subunit ribosomal RNA", at positions 26 to 518 of the family's 1533-position model. The record is from RNAcentral.
AGAUUGAACGCUGGCGGCGUGCCUAACACAUGCAAGUCGAGCGGUAACAGGUGUAGCAAUACGUGCUGACGAGCGGCGAACGGGUGAGUAAUGCUUUGGAAUCUUCCCAGUAGUGGGGAAUAACCAGUCGAAAGAUUGGCUAAUACCGCAUACGUCUGUAAAGGGAAAGCGGGGGCUCGUAAGACCUCGCGCUAUUGGAUGAGCCAAAGUCGGAUUAGCUAGUUGGUGGGGUAAUGGCCUACCAAGGCGACAAUCCGUAGCUGGUCUGAGAGGACGACCAGCCACACCGGAACUGAGACACGGUCCGGACUCCUACGGGAGGCAGCAGUGGGGAAUAUUGGACAAUGGGGGAAACCCUGAUCCAGCGACGCCGCGUGUGUGAAGAGGCCUGCGGGUUGUAAAGCACUUUAGUGGGGACAAAAGCUACGGAUUAAUACUCUGUGGUCUUGAUUUAACCAAAGAAAAGCACCGGCUAACUCUGUGCCAGCAGCCGC